GACGAACGCUGGCGGCGUGCUUAACACAUGCAAGUCGAACGGAAAGGCCCUGCUUUUGUGGGGUGCUCGAGUGGCGAACGGGUGAAUAACACGUGAGUAACCUGCCCUUGACUUUGGGAUAACUUCAGGAAACUGGGGCUAAUACCGGAUAGGAGCUCCUGCUGCAUGGUGGGGGUUGGAAAGUUUCGGCGGUUGGGGAUGGACUCGCGGCUUAUCAGCUUGUUGGUGGGGUAGUGGCUUACCAAGGCUUUGACGGGUAGCCGGCCUGAGAGGGUGACCGGCCACAUUGGGACUGAGAUACGGCCCAGACUCCUACGGGAGGCAGCAGUGGGGAAUAUUGCACAAUGGGCGGAAGCCUGAUGCAGCAACGCCGCGUGCGGGAUGACGGCCUUCGGGUUGUAAACCGCUUUCGCCUGUGGCGAAGCGUGAGUGACGGUAAUGGGUAAAGAAGCACCGGCUAACUACGUG
Molecule: ribosomal RNA, 468 nt
Filed under: uncultured bacterium
Lineage: Bacteria
Description: partial 16S ribosomal RNA
Rfam family: Bacterial small subunit ribosomal RNA
Source: RNAcentral